Non-coding RNA from Pimephales promelas (fathead minnow), 1199 nucleotides. NCBI's taxonomy places the organism in Eukaryota, Metazoa, Chordata, Actinopteri, Cypriniformes, Leuciscidae. The record is from RefSeq and is a predicted model, not a curated record.
GUUCUCCACGUAAACCAUUGAAAUCGGUUAAAUAAAACGUGGUUCUGUUUUUAAAAAUCUCCGGGAAACUUGCGUGUUUUUAGAGCAGUGUGAGCAAACCACGCGGCAGUCGAUGCGACGUCUGUGGCUGCUGAUACAAUCUGGUUUGCAAUGCAUCAUGGAAAUUGUAGUUGAUUUACAUGUACAGUGUUAAAUCCGCUUUGCAAAAAGACUACUUUUCCCAGAAUGCACCCAGUGACACCAUCCCGCCUACCAGAGGAUCCGGAAGUUGCGUAGCAGCUAUUCAGCAACUCAACGCAGUCGCGGUGAAAUUCAAAUAACUAAGUUAGUUGUUCUAACUUCGACAAUCACGCUGUGUUGGUUUUAUCUUUUGAAGUUUUAAUACAUGAUCAAGUGAAGAACAUCGGAAGCUGCUUCUUGCUGAACAACAGCUGAUCUUUCUGAGGCCACCAAAACGGAAAAUAAAAUGAAACAGGCGACUAAUGGAUGAAAAUGACCCCGAUGAGGAGGCUACUGCAGCCAUGGCAAGUAGAGAAGUUCACAAGACCUCACAGAACAUCGCAGGCAACAGGAUUUAACUUUACAGUCUCACAGACAGGCAAUACAGUCACCAUGGCAUCAUGAAACACCCAGACCACAGAGAAAAAGCCUCUCAAGUGAUGACCGAUUAAUAAGAUUACGGUGGCUGAGAGGUCUCAACAUUCUGCAACAGAAGAAAAUUGAUGCAAACAGAAAAAAAAACCCUGUAAAAUAAGAACAUCUUUAUCACAUGUGCUAAACACAACCAAAUACAUAAAUGCUCUCCAAAUGUCCGACCAACAAAUAUCUACUCGACAAUGGUGUUCAUUGUUUUAUUUUUAUUAUUAUUUAUUGUUUGCAUUGUAUUUGCAGCAUGUGUGUUGUGAAACUGAUGUCUUGACUUGCUGGUGUUUUUCUUGUUUGCAUGUUUUCUUCUGUUGCAGGACUUUGAGAUCUCUCGGCCAACAUAUUUUUGUUAAUUUUUGUAUCUCAUUAUUUAAGAAUGCCACAUACACAUUUUUGUAACAUUUUAAUUUAUUGCUGUCUUUUUAUUAUUCUUGUAAUGUGAAUUAUAGUUAUAUUUUGUUUUGUCUUACUCUAGUAUUGGCUUGUAUUUUGUUGUUUAUCCUUUUAUCUGGCUGAGAUUUUCUUCCCUUCUCAAUAAAAUAAUGUUCUUUGCA